UGGAAGACAUUAUACUGACCACUGAAG
This 27-nucleotide non-coding RNA is filed under the name Rattus norvegicus (Norway rat). The record is from RNAcentral. Lineage: Eukaryota; Metazoa; Chordata; Mammalia; Rodentia; Muridae.